Molecule: long non-coding RNA, 3904 nt
Organism: Amphiprion ocellaris (clown anemonefish)
Lineage: Eukaryota; Metazoa; Chordata; Actinopteri; Pomacentridae
Source: Ensembl
CCCAGUUCCACCCAGAGCUCCCAGUUCCACCCAGAGCUCCCAGUUCCAGCCGGAGCUCCCAGUUCACCCGGAGCUCCCAGUUCCACCCAGAGCUCCCAGUUCCACCCAGAGCUCCCAGUUCCAGCCGGAGCUCCCAUUCCACCCAGAGCUCCCAGUUCACCCGGAGCUCCCAGUUCACCCGGAGCUCCCAGUUCCACCCGGAGCUCCCAGUUCCACCCGGAGCUCCCAGUUCCACCCAGAGCUCCCAGUUCACCCAGAGCUCCCAGUUCCACCCAGAGCUCCCAGUUCACCCAGAGCUCCCAGUUCCAGCCGGAGCUCCCAGUUCCACCCAGACUGUGGACUGUGUGAUGUGAGUGCAGGUGGACAUUGAGAGGAUGAAGGACUCUACUUUAUUCAGGCGUGCAGACCUCUGAUCUUUUAUCUCUGUAUAAUAUCCGAACAGUCGACAUAUUUGUGUUGUUUUGUAAAUUCCCGUCCGUCGGCUGAGUGGAGGGAAACUACCAGAACAUAUGCUCACAGGCGGACUUGUUUCUCAGGAGGCGGCGAUUCGAGGACGUCAGGAGAAGAAAAACUCACCUAUUCCUGUAAAUUUGCAGUAAAAGUAAAAGUGAGCCAAAGACUGAGGCCCGCUUGAGGACCGGAUCCGACACCGGAGCACCUGACAGGUUUUAAGGUUUGGACUCAGAAGCCUGAACAGAAAAGGUGCUCAUUGUGAAGAAAACCUGCAGAAAGGCACACAAACUGCAGAUUUACAUGACCUGUACAAGUCUGGUAUUCUUACACAUCGUUUCUUAUUUCCAGUUUACAUAUUCAGAGAUCUGGCCGGGUCCAUGUUUUCUAUGUCCUGCAGACGGAGUGCUGUAUCGGCUUCCUGUUCGCUAGUGCUUGUUGUUGUGGUUCUCCUUUGUUGUGUCGCGUUUAAUACACACCUGCAUGCCAAAGACUAUUCCAGAUACGAUAGUUCUAGCCAGAAGUACCCUGAUUUCUGUUUGGCUCUUAUUGGGAUCAGAAGACAAAUGUCCUUGUGGAAACGGCUUUUUUAACCCUCCUGUUGUCCUCAUUUAUGGGCACCAAAAAAUAUUGUUUCCUUGUCUGAAAAAAAUCCAAAAAAUCUGCAAAAAAAUUCCCCAAAUUUCUGAAAAUUUGCAAAACCUUCAGGAAGAAAAUUCCAAUAAUUUCUUAAAAGUUUCACAUAAAAGUAUUAUUUUAAAAAAUUCCCCAAAUUUGGCAAGAAAAUUCUUGUAAAUAUGUUCAAAAAAUGAGUAAAAAUCUUCCAAAAAAAUCCUAAAAAUCUCUAAAGUGAUUCCAUAUAUAUCAGUAAAAUUUCUGAUAUUUUCUUUAAGAACAUUCACAUAAAGAUUUUGCUGGAUUUUGGUUGAUUGUUUUGUGAAUGUUCUUAAGAAACAUUUUUAACAUUUCUUUUUUUCCACAAAAACAUGUUCAAAGAUUUCCCAAAUAUGUUGAAAAUAUGGACAUCAGAAGAUUCACUGUGAAAAUAUAUUUUUUCCACAUUUUCAAACUUCAAAACGGGUCAGUUUGAUCUGCAGGACGACACGAGGAUUAAAAUAUGCACUGAUGUGUUUGUUACCAUGUUGUGGUUUCUCUUAGACAUCGAGGAUGUGCAGAUGUUGAAGAAAACGUCCGUUGACACUGACUUACUUAAUAACAAAGUUUUAUUAUAAGGAAGAACAGCAUCGAUCAGACAGAGAGACUGCCUGGGAGGAUUCAGCCAAAUGAACCUCUCCAAACGACAAACGAAGGUCACUGUUACAUGCUUUGGACAGGUAUGAGGUCACAACAAAUGUUUCCUAUUUAGAAGACAUCUGGUCAUAGAACAAGACCCCACUGAUCAACCCCCUAUCAAUAAGGCACCCAAAGUGCCAUUAGGGGCCAGAGAUCAAUGAUCAUUACCUGGACAUAAUGACUCCCAAUCUAAUCACAGCAAUGACUUCCUUCAGCAGAAGAACACAUUUUGUUCUGACAAGCAACACAUAUCUCAGGUCAGAUACUACAACCACAAGGUCAGAAAUGGAAGAUCCUCAGAUAAGACGGACAGAACAUUUCUACGGAUCAGUUCAGUUUAGCUCCUCCUCAGCCUGGAUGUCAUUACAGAACCGCUGGACUUUCCUGCAGUAUACAACAAACGUCACCCAAUGAUUCUACACUGUAGCUCCUUACAGUAAUCAGAUUACUUCUAAGUUGAACAGUAGAGUAUUUCCCCUAAUGUCAGAUUACAAACUAUUAGUUUAGAUUUAAUAUAUUAAUAAAUUCAACAGUAGCCAUCGCCGUGCUUCACUGUCAGGAUGGUGUGUGGUAGUCUAGUCAACAGUAAACAGAUGCACAACGACCACAAAGACACACAAAAUCACCACAAAGACACACAAAAUCACCAGAGAGACUCACAAAAUGACCUCGGAGUGCUUCACUGUCAAGGCUAUGCAUUCACUGUGGUAGUCCUGGUCAGGAGAGACCACAAAGAGAUACAAAACAACCACAAAGAGAUGCAUAAUGACGACAAAAACACACAACAUGACCACGAAAAGACACAAAAUAACCACAAAGACACACAAAAUCGCCAGAAAGACUCACAAAAUGACUUCAAAGUUCUUCACUGUCAGGACGAUGCAUCCACUGUGGUAGUCCUGGUCAGGUUCUCAAUUAACAUCUGGACUCCAUCUGAACCCAACUCAUUGAUCUUCAUCUGAAUGUUCUCCAACAUCCAUCAGGCUUCUUUAAAUGUUCUUUGUGAAAGUAGUUCACUGUCCAUGGAGUCAUUUUAGGAGCUCUGAUUAGUGGUACUAUGCCUCCUUCUAGACCUCCUGAUUAGUGGAACUAUGACUCCUUCUAGACCUCCUGAUUAGUGGUACUAUGACUCCUUCUAGACCUCCUGAUUAGUGGAACUACGACUCCUUCUAGACCUCCUGAUUAGUGGUACUAUGACUCCUUCUAGACCUCCUGAUUAGUGGUACUAUGACUCCUUCUAGACCUCCUGAUUAGUGGUACUAUGACUCCUUCUAGACCUCCUGGUUAAUGGUACUAUGACUCCUUCUAGACCUCCUGAUCCGUGCUUCUAUGACUCCUUCUAGUUGCUCACUGAUCUUCCUGGAUCUUUUCCAUCUUUGUCGAGUCUCUCAGUCAGAUUUUUCUCUUCCUCUGUUCAGUUCGUUUCCAUGUGGUGCCGUGAUGCAGACAUAGAUAGACCCAGGUCCAGAACGGAGAACGUUCAUUUUAGAACCAUGUUCAUCAGUUCGACUGAAUCACAGCUGGACUCGUCUUUAUAAAAAGUUCUACUGUUCCACUUAGAAAUGAUGCAAUCAGUGAGAGAGGACUUAAGUUGGAAUCAUUUGACAUUUAAGUGAUUUUGCCCCGGGGUGUCCUCACUGAUGUUGUAUACUGUAAUUAUAUGUAGAAUAGAGAUAAAAACGUGUGAGAUCCUGCUGUAUUUUACAAUCACAUACCAGUCAGUUCUUUUCAAAAUAGUAACAGACAGAAAGUAUUGAGACUUAUUUUGUACACUUUAGUGUUGUAGAUUUAAUUUUAAAUGGAAAAUAUAGAUAUAUUUUCACAUUAAUCUACACUCAGUAACCCAGAAUGACAAAGCAAAGACACAAAAAUGUCAAGCAGUUUUAAUUUAAUUGAUUUAAAGUUAUUUUUCCAACACUAUAAGGUGUUCUGGAGUCUGAAUACUUCCUGAAGCGACUGAAGGUUCAUCGCUGGUAAAUAGCAAUAACAGGACAUGUUGACAAUCAGAUAUUUCUCAUGUUUGUUUCCUCCUUUAGCUCCAUCUGCUCCCACUUUAUCUUGCUUGUAUGUUGUUUCUUCAUUUUUGCUAAUGGUUUGAGCUUCAGUAGAUGUGUCGAGUGCUGCUUGUUUUUAGGUUUGAGCUCUAAACUGAAUAAAGUUG